RNAcentral lists this long non-coding RNA (1040 nucleotides) under Marmota monax (woodchuck). The record is from RNAcentral. Lineage: Eukaryota; Metazoa; Chordata; Mammalia; Rodentia; Sciuridae.
UCAGCUUCUUGAGCAGCUGGGAUUACAGGUAGGUGCCACUGGACCAACCUUAGCCACUGCUCUUGACAAAGUUUUCAUCAAUCAUUUCUCUGCCUCUUUAAGCAGCAAUUAACCCAAAUAAUCAGCAUUUUUUCUUCUAGAAAUUUUCCCUUUUUUGACUUCAAAAACAUCACAUUCUCCUAUUUCUCCUCCUACUUUACCAGCUUUUAUACCUCUGCUGGACUGAUUCUACCUCCCUCUUUCUGUAAAUUCCCCUAUUAAGGUCCAUGUCACGUUAAUGUGUAACUCUAGCUUUGUGAGCUCCUACCUCCAACUUGACAUCUCUUGCUUGAGCACAACGGAAUUUGGGGUACCCACCCCAUCAUUUGCUCUUCUACUAUUUCCAUCUCAAUAAACUGCACCACUAUUGCCCAAAUGCACAUUCCUAAGGCUUAGGAAUCAUCCUGACUUCCCUCACUCAACACACCAAUCCUAUCCCAAAUUCAUCAAAGUCUCACUAUCUCUCCAGCUACCUAGUGCGGGCCACAACCACCUCUGAAUCAAUCUAUUUCCACUCUUUAUCAAAGUGACAAUAAAUCAUAUCAAAGCUCUUCCUAUAUCUACUGGCUUCCCAUUGUAUUUAUAGUAAUCUCCAAAUUCUUUACUGAGACUGUGGUCAAGCACAACCGGGCCCACUCUCUGCUUCAGUCAAAAUGCCUCCAAGGACCAGGAACCUUUUCUUUCCCCAGCAUGAAAUGUUCAACGCUGUGUCUGCAGCCUCACCUAAUUCAAGUCCUAUUUCCACUCACCUUCUCAGUGAGCACACCAUCCCAAUCUAGUUGGUAAAUCAUUUUGUUAUUGCUUUUUUGUGCUGGGGAUUGAACCCAGGGCCUCAGCCAUGGGAGUCAAAACUCCACCAGAGUUAUACCCUCAGCCCUACCAUCUUGUUUUGAGCAUAAGAUUUAUCAUUAAAAUUAUCUUGUAAAAAUACUAAUCUCUAUUUUAUGGAAUGAAGUGUUGCUGGAUUCUAGAAAUGAAAAUAAAGCCAAUAUGUCUUUAAA